Molecule: ribosomal RNA, 433 nt
Filed under: uncultured bacterium
Lineage: Bacteria
Description: partial 16S ribosomal RNA
Rfam family: Bacterial small subunit ribosomal RNA
Source: RNAcentral
AACGAACGCUGGCGGCAUGCCUAACACAUGCAAGUCGAACGAGACCUUCGGGUCUAGUGGCGCACGGGUGCGUAACGCGUGGGAACCUGCCCUUAGGUUCGGAAUAACUCCCCGAAAGGGGUGCUAAUACCGGAUAAUGUCUUCGGACCAAAGAUUUAUCGCCUUUGGAUGGGCCCGCGUUGGAUUAGCUAGUUGGUAGGGUAAAAGCCUACCAAGGCGACGAUCCAUAGCUGGUCUGAGAGGAUGACCAGCCACACUGGGACUGAGACACGGCCCAGACUCCUACGGGAGGCAGCAGUGGGGAAUAUUGGACAAUGGGCGAAAGCCUGAUCCAGCAAUGCCGCGUGAGUGAUGAAGGCCUUAGGGUUGUAAAGCUCUUUUACCCGGGAUGAUAAUGACAGUACCGGGAGAAUAAGCUCCGGCCAACUCCGUG